This 253-nucleotide ribosomal RNA is filed under the name uncultured bacterium. RNAcentral describes it as "partial 16S ribosomal RNA". It matches the Rfam family "Bacterial small subunit ribosomal RNA", at positions 524 to 776 of the family's 1533-position model. The record is from RNAcentral.
UACGGAGGAUCCAAGCGUUAUCCGGAUUCAUUGGGUUUAAAGGGUGCGUAGGCGGAAUGAUAAGUCAGUGGUGAAAGCCUGUUGCUUAACAACAGAACUGCCAUUGAUACUGUCAAUCUUGAGUACAUUUGAUGUGGGCGGAAUGUGGCAUGUAGCGGUGAAAUGCUUAGAUAUGCCAUAGAACACCGAUUGCGAAGGCAGCUUGCUGGACCUGUAUUGACGCUGAGGCACGAAAGCGUGGGGAGCAAACAGG